GCCAGCAGCCAUAUCUCCCUGCAACUCACAACUGGCAGCCCACUGAAGUUAAGUGGGUGUGAGCCUGGUCAGUACCUGGGAGACCUCCUGGGAAAAACUAAGGUUGCUGCUGGAA
Molecule: ribosomal RNA, 115 nt
Organism: Lepisosteus oculatus (spotted gar)
Lineage: Eukaryota; Metazoa; Chordata; Actinopteri; Semionotiformes; Lepisosteidae
Source: Rfam